UACGAAGGGUGCUAGCGUUGCUCGGAAUCACUGGGCGUAAAGCGCACGUAGGCGGAUUGUUAAGUCAGGGGUGAAAUCCUGGAGCUCAACUCCAGAACUGCCUUUGAUACUGGCGAUCUUGAGUCCGGGAGAGGUGAGUGGAACUGCGAGUGUAGAGGUGAAAUUCGUAGAUAUUCGCAAGAACACCAGUGGCGAAGGCGGCUCACUGGCCCGGUACUGACACUGAGGUGCGAAAGCGUGGGGAGCAAACAGG
Molecule: ribosomal RNA, 253 nt
Filed under: uncultured bacterium
Lineage: Bacteria
Description: partial 16S ribosomal RNA
Rfam family: Bacterial small subunit ribosomal RNA
Source: RNAcentral